This 1286-nucleotide ribosomal RNA is filed under the name uncultured bacterium. Its description in RNAcentral is "bacterial SSU rRNA". It matches the Rfam family "Bacterial small subunit ribosomal RNA", at positions 65 to 1344 of the family's 1533-position model. The record is from RNAcentral.
AGGGGCAGCGGGGUAGUGCUUGCACUACUGCCGGCGACCGGCGCACGGGUGAGUAACACGUAUGGAACCUGCCCGCAGCAGGGGGAUAAGCGGAAGAAAUUCCGUCUGAUACCGCGUAAGAACGUUGGGAGGCAUCUCCCGAUGUUUAAAGAUUUAUCGGCUGCGGAUGGCCAUGCGGCGCAUUAGCUAGUCGGCGGGGUAACGGCCCACCGAGGCGACGAUGCGUAGGGGUUCUGAGAGGAAGGUCCCCCACACUGGUACUGAGACACGGACCAGACUCCUACGGGAGGCAGCAGUGAGGAAUAUUGGUCAAUGGCCGAGAGGCUGAACCAGCCAAGUCGCGUGAGGGAAGACGGCCCUACGGGUUGUAAACCUCUUUUGUCGGGGAGCAAAGCGAACCACGUGUGGUUCAUUGAGAGUACCCGAAGAAAAAGCAUCGGCUAACUCCGUGCCAGCAGCCGCGGUAAUACGGAGGAUGCGAGCGUUAUCCGGAUUUAUUGGGUUUAAAGGGUGCGCAGGCGGCGGUGCAAGUCAGCGGUCAAAUUGCGGGGCUCACCCCCGUACUGCCGUUGAAACUGCAUCCCUUGAGUGCGCGAGAAGUAUGCGGAAUGCGUGGUGUAGCGGUGAAAUGCAUAGAUUUCAGCCGAAACUCCGAUUGGGAAGGCAGCAUACCGGCGCGCAACUGACGCUCAUGCACGAAAGCGUGGGUAUCGAACAGGAUUAGAUACCCUGGUAGUCCACGCAGUAAACGAUGAACACUAACUGUUCGGCCAGAAUGAUGGCUGAGUGGUACAGCGAAAGCGUUAAGUGUUCCACCUGGGGAGUACGCCGGCAACGGUGAAACUCAAAGGAAUUGACGGGGGCCCGCACAAGCGGAGGAACAUGUGGUUUAAUUCGAUGAUACGCGAGGAACCUUACCCGGGCUCAAACGACACAGGAAUACUUUUGAAAGGAGGUAGCCCUACGGGGUCUGUGUCGAGGUGCUGCAUGGUUGUCGUCAGCUCGUGCCGUGAGGUGUCGGCUUAAGUGCCAUAACGAGCGCAACCCCUAUCGCCAGUUACCAUCAAGUAAAGUUGGGGACUCUGGCGAGACUGCCGGCGCAAGCUGAGAGGAAGGCGGGGAUGACGUCAAAUCAGCACGGCCCUUACGUCCGGGGCGACACACGUGUUACAAUGGCAGGUACAGAGAGAAGCCAGGUGGUGACACCGAGCGGAACUCGAAAGCCUGUCUCAGUUCGGAUCGGAGUCUGCAACCCGACUCCGUGAAGCUGGAUUCGCUAGUAAUCG